UGGGGAAUCUUGCACAAUGGGGGCAACCCUGAUGCAGCGACGCCGCGUGAGCGAUGAAGCCCUUCGGGGCGUAAAGCUCUUUCGACCGGAACGAUAAUGACGGUACCGGGAGAAGAAGCUGCGGCUAACUACGUGCCAGCAGCCGCGGUAAUACGUAGGCAGCAAGCGUUGUUCGGAGUUACUGGGCGUAAAGAGUGCGUAGGCGGUUUUCUAAGUUCGGUGUGAAAUCUCCCGGCUUAACUGGGAGGGUGCGCCGAAGACUGGGAAGCUGGAGUGUGGGAAAGGCAGGCGGAAUUCCUGGUGUAGCGGUGAAAGGCGUAGAUAUCAGGAGGAACACCCGCGGUGUAGACGGCUUGCUAGACCAUAACUGACGC
This 374-nucleotide ribosomal RNA is filed under the name uncultured bacterium. Its description in RNAcentral is "bacterial SSU rRNA". It matches the Rfam family "Bacterial small subunit ribosomal RNA", at positions 355 to 746 of the family's 1533-position model. The record is from RNAcentral.